RNAcentral lists this ribosomal RNA (417 nucleotides) under uncultured bacterium. Its description in RNAcentral is "bacterial SSU rRNA". It matches the Rfam family "Bacterial small subunit ribosomal RNA", at positions 506 to 921 of the family's 1533-position model. The record is from RNAcentral.
UGCCAGCAGCCGCGGUAAUACGUAGGUGGCGAGCGUUGUCCGGAAUUACUGGGUGUAAAGGGCGUGUAGGCGGGGAUAUAAGUCAGAUGUGAAAAUCCAUGGCUUAACUGUGGGACUGCAUCUGAAACUAUAUUUCUUGAGUGCUGGAGAGGAAAGCGGAAUUCCCAGUGUAGCGGUGAAAUGCGUAGAUAUUGGGAGGAACACCAGUGGCGAAGGCGGCUUUCUGGACAGUAACUGACGCUGAGGCGCGAAAGCGUGGGGAGCAAACAGGAUUAGAUACCCUGGUAGUCCACGCUGUAAACGAUGGAUACUAGGUGUAGGGGGUAUCGACCCCCUCUGUGCCGGAGUUAACACAAUAAGUAUCCCACCUGGGGAGUACGGCCGCAAGGUUGAAACUUAAAGGAAUUGGCGGGGGAC